ACGGAAGGCAGCAGUGGGGAAUAUUGGGCAAUGGGCGAAAGCCUGACCCAGCAACGCCGCGUGAGGAAGAAGAUUUUCGGAUUGUAAACUUCUUUUAUGAGGGACGAAGGACGUGACGGUACCUCAUGAGUAAGCCACGGCUAACUACGUGCCAGCAGCCGCGGUAAUACGUAGGUGGCGAGCGUUAUCCGGAUUUACUGGGUGUAAAGGGCGCGUAGGCGGGGUGACAAGUCAGAUGUGAAAUCUAUGGGCUCAACCCAUAAACUGCAUUUGAAACUGCCACUCUUGAGUGCUGGAGAGGUAGACGGAAUUCCUUGUGUAGCGGUGAAAUGCGUAGAUAUAAGGAAGAACACCAGUGGCGAAGGCUGUCUACUGGACAGUAACUGACGCUGAGGCGCGAAAGCGUGGGGAGCAAACAGGAUUAGAUACCCUGGUA
This 436-nucleotide ribosomal RNA is filed under the name uncultured Oscillospiraceae bacterium. Its description in RNAcentral is "partial 16S ribosomal RNA". It matches the Rfam family "Bacterial small subunit ribosomal RNA", at positions 341 to 792 of the family's 1533-position model. The record is from RNAcentral. Lineage: Bacteria; Bacillati; Bacillota; Clostridia; Eubacteriales; Oscillospiraceae.